GGAGUCUGGGCCGUGUCUCAGUCCCAAUGUGGCUGGUCGUCCUCUCAGACCAGCUACUGAUCGUCGCCUUGGUGGGCCUUUGCCCCGCCAACUAGCUAAUCAGACAUCGGCCGCUCCUGUCGCGAGAGGUCUUGCGAUCCCCCUCUUUCACCCUCAGGUCUCAUGCGGUAUUAGCUGACCUUUCGGCCAGUUAUCCCCCACAACAGGACACGUUCCGAUGUGUUACUCACCCGUUCGCCACUCGCCGGCAGGAGCAAGCUCCCCCGCUGCCGUUCGACUUGCAUGUGUAAAGCAUGCCGCCAGCGUUCAAU
This 311-nucleotide ribosomal RNA is filed under the name uncultured Sutterella sp. RNAcentral describes it as "partial 16S ribosomal RNA". The record is from RNAcentral. Lineage: Bacteria; Pseudomonadati; Pseudomonadota; Betaproteobacteria; Burkholderiales; Sutterellaceae.